This 153-nucleotide ribosomal RNA is filed under the name Palmaria palmata var. sarniensis. Its description in RNAcentral is "5.8S ribosomal RNA". It matches the Rfam family "5.8S ribosomal RNA". From Rfam's summary of the family: 5.8S ribosomal RNA (5.8S rRNA) is a component of the large subunit of the eukaryotic ribosome. Lineage: Eukaryota; Rhodophyta; Florideophyceae; Palmariales; Palmariaceae. The record is from RNAcentral.
CGGAGGAUAUCUUGGCUCCCACAUCGAUGAAGAACGCAGCAAAAUGCGAUACGUAGUGUGAAUUGCAGAACAUGUGAAUCAUCGAAUUUUUGAACGCAAGUGGCCCUCGCGGGCAAUCCUGGGAGCAUUUUUGUUUGAGUGUCCCCCCAAACA